CCUACGGGUGGCAGCAGUGAGGAAUAUUGGUCAAUGGGCGUAAGCCUGAACCAGCCAAGUCGCGUGAGGGAUGAAGGUUCUAUGGAUCGUAAACCUCGUUUAUAAGGAAAUAAAGUGCGGGGCGUGUCCCGUUUUGUAUGUACCUUAUGAACAAAGAUCGGGUAACUCCGUGCCAGCAGCCGCGGUGAUACGGAGGGUCCGAGCGUUGUCCGGAUUGAUUGGGUUUAAAGGGUGCGUAGGCGGCAUUUCAAGUCAGGGGUGAAAGCCUGUGGGUCAACCAUAGAAUUGCCGUUGAAACUGGGAGGCUUGAGUAUGUGUGAGGCAGGCGGAAUGCGUGGUGUAGGGGUGAAAUGCUGAGAUAUCACGCAGAACACCGAUGGCGAAGGCAGCCUGCCAAGCCAUGACUGACGCUGAUGCACGAAAGCGUGGGGAUCAAACAGGAUUAGAUACCCGGGUAGUC
Molecule: ribosomal RNA, 460 nt
Filed under: uncultured bacterium
Lineage: Bacteria
Description: partial 16S ribosomal RNA
Rfam family: Bacterial small subunit ribosomal RNA
Source: RNAcentral